This is a non-coding RNA of Pelobates cultripes (western spadefoot toad), 231 nucleotides long. Lineage: Eukaryota; Metazoa; Chordata; Amphibia; Anura; Pelobatidae. The record is from the annotation of a GenBank genome assembly.
UCCCUUUCCCCAAUGACUAGACGACACUUAGUCUGGGAGUCAACUGGCCUUUAAUACACGAACUCUGCUUUUAUGUGAUUCUCCCAUGCAAGGGAGGCAACUACCAUAAUUACUACAUUACCCAAUCACAUAACCGGUACCUCCCCCACAUCUCCUCCCCUUAGCUUAACAGUUAACCUCAUUAAAAUAUAUACAAUUUUCCCCAAUUCUUGGAUGUACCCCAAAUAUGGG